AUGUAGCUCAGUGGUAGAGCUCAUGCUUAGCAUGCAUGGGGCCCUGGGUUCAAUUCUUAUUAU
Non-coding RNA from Fukomys damarensis (Damara mole-rat), 63 nucleotides. Lineage: Eukaryota; Metazoa; Chordata; Mammalia; Rodentia; Bathyergidae. The record is from Rfam.